This 807-nucleotide ribosomal RNA is filed under the name uncultured bacterium. RNAcentral's name for it is "bacterial SSU rRNA". It matches the Rfam family "Bacterial small subunit ribosomal RNA", at positions 71 to 859 of the family's 1533-position model. The record is from RNAcentral.
UUCGGAAAGAAUUGCCCGAGGUUGUUGACGAAUGGGUGGAAUAAGGUGUGGGAACCUUCCUUUUAGAGGGGAAUAAUCAUGGGAAACGAUGACUAAUAUUGCUUAAUAUACAAAGACCGCAUGGUUUUAGUAAGAAAGGCGGCCUUAGAGCUGUUGCUAAAAGAUGGACCCGGGUGUGAUUAGCUAGUUGGUAAGGUAACGGCUUACCAAGGCAACGAUCAGUAGCCGGCCUGAGAGGGUGAACGGCCACAUUGGGACUGAGACACGGCCCAAACUCCUACGGGAGGCAGCAGUGGGGGAAUCUUCCGCAAUGGGCGAAAGCCUGACGGAGCAAUGCCGCGUGAGUGAAGAAGGCCUUCGGGAUGUAAAGCUCUAUCGUAAUCGAAGAGAGCUUGUGAUAGUAACUGAUCAUGAGAGGACGGUAGAUUACAAGGAAGCCCCGGCUAACUAUGUGCCAGCAGCCGCGGUAAAACAUAGGGGGCAAGCGUUGUCCGGAAUCACUGGGCGUAAAGGGCGCGUAGGUGGUUUGUUAAGUCAGAUGUGAAAUGUAGGGGCUCAACCCCUAACGUGCAUCUGAUACUGGCAGACUUGAGUGCGGAAGAGGCAAGUGGAAUUCCUGGUGUAGCGGUGAAAUGCGCAGAUAUCAGGAGGAACACCGGUGGCGAAGGCGGGUCUCUGGGCAGUAACUGACGCUGAGGAGCGAAAGCAUGGGUAGCGAACAGGAUUAGAUACCCUGGUAGUCCAUGCCGUAAACGGUGGGCGCUAGAAGUAGGGGUCUUCCACGACUUCUGUGCCGUAGCUAACGCA